UUCUCACACCCCAUUAGCUUUCCUGCUGGCUCCAGGAUUUAUGGGAACUGGGGCAGGCGCUGGACAAAGGGACAGGACUGGGGACCGACUCUCUCUGCAGCCCUGAGUACCCACGGCAGUUUCCUGUGAGCAGUGGAGACACACUUGACUCACCUCGGUCCACCUCCCCGUGCCGCACACAGCCACGAUUCUGGCCAGUCCAUCAUCUUUGGGUUUUCAUUAGAACCGGUUGACCCACUUUGCUUUGGACCUGGCUGUUCUUUUCCCAGGAUUUUAUUUCCAUUUAUUCAAUUGUAAGUUGGAAAGUGAUAAAAUUAAUGGGUGAUGGGAGACUGGAAAAGUUGGGGAAUGAAGAAGAUGCUGACUGAAGUCAAGUGCUGGAGCUGGAACCUGGGGCCUCAUGCAUGAUGAGCAGGUGCUGUCCACCCCGAGCCAGGCCCUGGGCUGAGAGCUGCAUGCUCCAUGUACUUUAACUGGACAUGGACACUUCAAGGUCACCUGAAGCACUUUCCAAGGAAUCCUAGACAGACAUCAGGAAGAGGAAAAGAGGAAGCCGCUGUGAGACACACCACUAAGGAAAAAGUUCGGGUGCACAGUGUGAGUUUAUAGAGACAGAGUCCACAGGAAGUGAUUCCAACAGGUUCCUCUGGGCCGGGGAGCUGGGCUGCUUACGCCAAUGGUGGGAGGCAGGGUUUUUACUGUUUAUACUUCUGUAGCCUUGCAAAUGCUUUCUGUUAAUUUUUAUUAAAGUCUAAUUCCAGCACAGUGGUGCAUACCUCCUCAGGAGGCUGAGGCAGAAGGAUCUAAAGCUCGGGGCCAGAAUGUGAACCUUAGCCAGAUCUUACCUCAAUCAAUCAGUCGAUCAAUAUUAAGGAAGGGUUGGUGAUAUAGCUCAGAGGGCUCAAUCCCUCACAUACUAAAUAAAUAAAUUACAAAUAGUAAGGCAGCGAAGAAUAUGGGUCUCCAUGCAAGAAGAAAGUUGAGAAAAGACAGAGUUGACUGUCUUCGGACGAUGUGGUCACUGGAUACUUCUGUACUUUUUCUGUUCAUUUAAAUUCCUGCCAUUUCUGAAGUGAACACAGAGAACAUUCUUUUGUAAUUUUUUUUAAGGAGUAAGAAAGUAAGUGUAUGACUUCCCCCUCCUGCUUGCCCUUCAUGGUAUGGAUUCCUUUAUAUGUGUAUUUGAGAUCUCUGGAACGGUCACUGUAAAAUGCCUCGGGGUGGUGGGAUGCAGGGAAAAAGCUCCUUAAAAAGCAGCUUCUGAGGCUGUGGGGGGGAUGAGAAGGGUUUCCAGACGCACACGGAUGCCAACCCGUGAGAAGAGAACGUGGAUGCCUGCACCCGGACGGGGGAGAUGGGCUUGUGAACUUGGUGACCUCCAUCUCCAGCAAUCCUGCCAAGGAACCCAAGAAACCAGCUCCUGACCAUGCCCGGUGGGCAAAUGAGGAAAGGUGAGAUGUGAUGGAGAUCUUUCAAGACAUCGAAGGUCCCCAAGGACCAGGGAGAGAUUCCACCUCUCCCUUUCAUCAAUAACGAUGACAAGAAUUGUCCUCUGGUUCACUGCAGUCAGAUUCUUACAGGGUGAAUUACUCUAGGUGCACUUGUUUAAUUCUGUUUGUUUUUAUGAGGAUUAAACAAGAAAACUGCCCUUGGCCAGUGGACAACCCUUGCACCUGACCAUGGCUGUACUCUGCACUGACUUCAUUCGAUUUAACGUAAGGCAUAACUGUGGUGCAUACUCUCACAGCUUCUGUC
Cavia porcellus (domestic guinea pig) is the source of this 1755-nucleotide long non-coding RNA. RefSeq lists it as uncharacterized. The transcript is spliced from 3 exons. NCBI's taxonomy places the organism in Eukaryota, Metazoa, Chordata, Mammalia, Rodentia, Caviidae. The record is from RefSeq and is a predicted model, not a curated record.